UCAGUAACGGCGAGUGAAGCGGCAACAGCUCAAAUUUGAAAUCUGGCUCUCGGGCCCGAGUUGUAAUUUGUAGAGGAUGCUUUUGGUGCGGUGCCUUCCGAGUUCCCUGGAACGGGACGCCAUAGAGGGUGAGAGCCCCGUCUGGUUGGACGCCAAUCCUCUGUAAAGCUCCUUCGACGAGUCGAGUAGUUUGGGAAUGCUGCUCUAAAUGGGAGGUAUAUGUCUUCUAAAGCUAAAUACCGGCCAGAGACCGAUAGCGCACAAGUAGAGUGAUCGAAAGAUGAAAAGAACUUUGAAAAGAGAGUUAAAAAGUACGUGAAAUUGUUGAAAGGGAAGCGCUUGUGACCAGACUUGGGCUUGGUUGAUCAUCCAGGGUUCUCCCUGGUGCACUCUUCCGGCCCAGGCCAGCAUCAGUUCGCCCCGGGGGAAAAAGGCUUCGGGAAUGUGGCUCUCUCCGGGGAGUGUUAUAGCCCGCUGCGUAAUACCCUGUGGCGGACUGAGGUUCGCGCAUUCGCAAGGAUGCUGGCGUAAUGGUCAUCAGUGACCCGUCUUGAAACACGGACCAAGGAGUCGUCUUCGUAUGCGAGUGUUCGGGUGUCAAACCCCUACGCGAAAUGAAAGUGAACGCAGGUGAGAGCUUCGGCGCAUCAUCGACCGAUCCUGAUGUUUUCGGAUGGAUUUGAGUAAGAGCAUACGGGGCCGGACCCGAAAGAAGGUGAACUAUGCCUGUGUAGGGUGAAGCCAGAGGAAACUCUGGUGGAGGCUCGCAGCGGUUCUGACGUGCAAAUCGAUCGUCAAACAUGGGCAUGGGGGCGAAAGACUAAUCGAACCUUCUAGUAGCUGGUUUCCGCCGAAGUUUCCCUCAGGAUAGCAGUGUUGAACUCAGUUUUAUGAGGUAAAGCGAAUGAUUAGGGACUCGGGGGCGCUAUUUAGCCUUCAUCCAUUCUCAAACUUUAAAUAUGUAAGAAGCCCUUGUUGCUUAAUUGAACGUGGGCAUUCGAAUGAAUCAACACUAGUGGGCCAUUUUUGGUAAGCAGAACUGGCGAUGCGGGAUGAACCGAACGCGAGGUUAAGGUGCCAGAGUAGACGCUCAUCAGACACCACAAAAGGUGUUAGUACAUCUUGACAGCAGGACGGUGGCCAUGGAAGUCGGAAUCCGCUAAGGACUGUGUAACAACUCACCUGCCGAAUGUACUAGCCCUGAAAAUGGAUGGCGCUCAAGCGUCUCACCCAUACCUCGCCCUCAGGGUAGAAACGAUGCCCUGAGGAGUAGGCGGACGUGGAGGUCAGUGACG
RNAcentral lists this ribosomal RNA (1295 nucleotides) under Fusarium neocosmosporiellum. RNAcentral describes it as "partial 28S ribosonal RNA". It matches the Rfam family "Eukaryotic large subunit ribosomal RNA", at positions 80 to 1405 of the family's 3401-position model. The record is from RNAcentral. Lineage: Eukaryota; Fungi; Ascomycota; Sordariomycetes; Hypocreales; Nectriaceae.